This 536-nucleotide ribosomal RNA is filed under the name uncultured bacterium. RNAcentral's name for it is "bacterial SSU rRNA". It matches the Rfam family "Bacterial small subunit ribosomal RNA", at positions 373 to 902 of the family's 1533-position model. The record is from RNAcentral.
GGGGGCAACCCUGAUCCAGCAAUGCCGCGUGUGGGAUGAAGGCCUUCGGGUUGUAAACCACUUUUGGCGGGGGCGAAAUAUCGAGUGCUAAUACCAUUCGGUGAUGACGGUACCCGCAGAAUAAGCACCGGCUAACUACGUGCCAGCAGCCGCGGUAAUACGUAGGGUGCGAGCGUUAAUCGGAAUUACUGGGCGUAAAGCGUGCGCAGGCGGUUGGGUAAGACAGAUGUGAAAUUCCCGGGCUCAACCUGGGAACUGCAUUUGUGACUGCUCGACUAGAGUGUGGCAGAGGGGAGUGGAAUUCCGCGUGUAGCAGUGAAAUGCGUAGAUAUGCGGAGGAACACCGAUGGCGAAGGCAACUCCCUGGGCCUGCACUGACGCUCAUGCACGAAAGCGUGGGGAGCAAACAGGAUUAGAUACCCUGGUAGUCCACGCCCUAAACGAUGUCGACUAGUUGUUGGACGGGAUACUGUUCAGUAACGUAGCUAACGCGUGAAGUCGACCGCCUGGGGAGUACGGCCGCAAGGUUAAAACUC